This 301-nucleotide ribosomal RNA is filed under the name uncultured bacterium. RNAcentral describes it as "partial 16S ribosomal RNA". It matches the Rfam family "Bacterial small subunit ribosomal RNA", at positions 509 to 809 of the family's 1533-position model. The record is from RNAcentral.
CAGUAGCCGCGGUAAUACGGAGGGGGCUAGCGUUGUUCGGAAUUACUGGGCGUAAAGCGCACGUAGGCGGUUUUCUAAGUUAGAGGUGAAAGCCUGGAGCUCAACUCCAGAAUUGCCUUUAAGACUGGAUCACUUGAACGUCGGAGAGGUGAGUGGAAUUCCGAGUGUAGAGGUGAAAUUCGUAGAUAUUCGGAAGAACACCAGUGGCGAAGGCGGCUCACUGGACGACUGUUGACGCUGAGGUGCGAAAGCGUGGGGAGCAAACAGGAUUAGAUACCCCGGUAGUCCCUGUCUCUUAUAA